UGGGGAAUCUUGGACAAUGGGCGCAAGCCUGAUCCAGCCAUGCCGCGUGAGCGAUGAAGGCCUUAGGGUUGUAAAGCUCUUUCACCGGUGAAGAUAAUGACGGUAGCCGGAGAAGAAGCCCCGGCUAACUCCGUGCCAGCAGCCGCGGUAAUACGGAGGGGGCUAGCGUUGUUCGGAAUUACUGGGCGUAAAGCGCGCGUAGGCGGACUGAUCAGUCAGGGGUGAAAUCCCGGGGCUCAACCCCGGAACUGCCUUUGAUACUGUCAGUCUUGAGUCCGGAAGAGGCGAGUGGAAUACCGAGUGUAGAGGUGAAAUUCGUAGAUAUUUGGAGGAACACCAGUGGCGAAGGCGGCUCACUGGCUCGAUACUGACGCUGAGGUGCGAAAGUGUGGGGAGCAAACAGGAUUAGAUACCUGGUAGUCCACACCGUAACGAUGAAUGCCAGUCGUCGGGUAGCAUGCUAUUCGGUGACACACCUAACGGAUUAAGCAUUCCGCC
RNAcentral lists this ribosomal RNA (498 nucleotides) under uncultured bacterium. Its description in RNAcentral is "bacterial SSU rRNA". It matches the Rfam family "Bacterial small subunit ribosomal RNA", at positions 355 to 873 of the family's 1533-position model. The record is from RNAcentral.